GAACCGCGUGAAGGAUCAUUACUGAGAGGGGUUUUCGGACCCCGGGGGCCCCGGCCCCCAUCUCUUCACCCUAUGUUUACGUACCUUCGUUGCUUUGGCGGGUCUUAGGGCUCGCCCCAUACCGGCUACGAGCCUAGUGCUCCGGUCGGCCCGUGCUCGCCAGAGGCCCAUCAAAUUCUGUUCACCAGUGACGUCCGAGCAAAAACACAAUAGUAAAAAACUUUCAACAACGGAUCUCUUGGUUCUGGCAUCGAUGAAGAACGCAGCGAAAUGCGAUAAGUAAUGUGAAUUGCAGAAUUCAGUGAAUCAUCGAAUCUUUGAACGCACAUUGCGCCCCUCGGUAUUCCGGGGGGCAUGCCUGUUCGAGCGUCAUUGCACCCCUCAAGCUCAGCUUGGUAUUGGGUCUUCGCCCCCACGGCGGGCCCGAAAGUCAGUGGCGGUCCGGCGUGACUUCGAGCGUAGUAAAUCUUCUCCCGCUUUGGAAGCUCGCGCUGCGGCCGGCCAUCAACGCCCAAAUUUUUCAAUGAUUGACCUCGGAUCAGGUAGGGAUACCCGCUGAACUUAA
RNAcentral lists this ribosomal RNA (565 nucleotides) under Rhizoplaca parilis. Its description in RNAcentral is "eukaryotic LSU rRNA". The stretch from base 219 to 372 matches the Rfam family "5.8S ribosomal RNA". Lineage: Eukaryota; Fungi; Ascomycota; Lecanoromycetes; Lecanorales; Lecanoraceae. The record is from RNAcentral.